AGGGAAACCGAGUCUUAACUGGGCGUUAAGUUGCAGGGUAUAGACCCGAAACCCGGUGAUCUAGCCAUGGGCAGGUUGAAGGUUGGGUAACACUAACUGGAGGACCGAACCGACUAAUGUUGAAAAAUUAGCGGAUGACUUGUGGCUGGGGGUGAAAGGCCAAUCAAACCGGGAGAUAGCUGGUUCUCCCCGAAAGCUAUUUAGGUAGCGCCUCGUGAACUCAUCUUCGGGGGUAGAGCACUGUUUCGGCUAGGGGGUCAUCCCGACUUACCAACCCGAUGCAAACUGCGAAUACCGAAGAAUGUUAUCACGGGAGACACACGGCGGGUGCUAACGUCCGUCGUGAAGAGGGAAACAACCCAGACCGCCAGCUAAGGUCCCAAAGUCACAGUUAAGUGGGAAACGAUGUGGGAAGGCUCAGACAGCCAGGAUGUUGGCUUAGAAGCAGCCAUCAUUUAAAGAAAGCGUAAUAGCUCACUGGUCGAGUCGGCCUGCGCGGAAGAUGUAACGGGGCUAAACUGUGCACCGAAGCUGCGGCAGCGACGCUUAUGCGUUGUUGGGUAGGGGAGCGUUCUGUAAGCCUGCGAAGGUGUCCUGUGAGGGAUGCUGGAGGUAUCAGAAGUGCGAAUGCUGACAUAAGUAACGAUAAUGCGGGUGAAAAGCCCGCUCGCCGGAAGACCAAGGGUUCCUGUCCAACGUUAAUCGGGGCAGGGUGAGUCGACCCCUAAGGCGAGGCCGAAAGGCGUAGUCGAUGGGAAACGGGUUAAUAUUCCCGUACUUGGUGUUACUGCGAAGGGGGGACGGAGAAGGCUAUGUUGGCCGGGCGACGGUUGUCCCGGUUUAAGCGUGUAGGCUGGUUUUCCAGGCAAAUCCGGAAAAUCAAGGCUGAGGCGUGAUGACGAGGCACUACGGUGCUGAAGCAACAAAUGCCCUGCUUCCAGGAAAAGCCUCUAAGCAUCAGGUAACAUCAAAUCGUACCCCAAACCGACACAGGUGGUCAGGUAGAGAAUACCAAGGCGCUUGAGAGAACUCGGGUGAAGGAACUAGGCAAAAUGGUGCCGUAACUUCGGGAGAAGGCACGCUGACACGUAGGUGAAGUGAUUUACUCAUGGAGCUGAAGUCAGUCGAAGAUACCAGCUGGCUGCAACUGUUUAUUAAAAACACAGCACUGUGCAAACACGAAAGUGGACGUAUACGGUGUGACGCCUGCCCGGUGCCGGAAGGUUAAUUGAUGGGGUCAGCGCAAGCGAAGCUCCUGAUCGAAGCCCCGGUAAACGGCGGCCGUAACUAUAACGGUCCUAAGGUAGCGAAAUUCCUUGUCGGGUAAGUUCCGACCUGCACGAAUGGCGUAAUGAUGGCCAGGCUGUCUCCACCCGAGACUCAGUGAAAUUGAACUCGCUGUGAAGAUGCAGUGUACCCGCGGCAAGACGGAAAGACCCCGUGAACCUUUACUAUAGCUUGACACUGAACAUUGAGCCUUGAUGUGUAGGAUAGGUGGGAGGCUUUGAAGUGUGGACGCCAGUCUGCAUGGAGCCGACCUUGAAAUACCACCCUUUAAUGUUUGAUGUUCUAACGUGGACCCGUAAUCCGGGUUGCGGACAGUGUCUGGUGGGUAGUUUGACUGGGGCGGUCUCCUCCUAAAGAGUAACGGAGGAGCACGAAGGUUGGCUAAUCCUGGUCGGACAUCAGGAGGUUAGUGCAAUGGCAUAAGCCAGCUUGACUGCGAGCGUGACGGCGCGAGCAGGUGCGAAAGCAGGUCAUAGUGAUCCGGUGGUUCUGAAUGGAAGGGCCAUCGCUCAACGGAUAAAAGGUACUCCGGGGAUAACAGGCUGAUACCGCCCAAGAGUUCAUAUCGACGGCGGUGUUUGGCACCUCGAUGUCGGCUCAUCACAUCCUGGGGCUGAAGUAGGUCCCAAGGGUAUGGCUGUUCGCCAUUUAAAGUGGUACGCGAGCUGGGUUUAGAACGUCGUGAGACAGUUCGGUCCCUAUCUGCCGUGGGCGCUGGAGAACUGAGGGGGGCUGCUCCUAGUACGAGAGGACCGGAGUGGACGCAUCACUGGUGUUCGGGUUGUCAUGCCAAUGGCACUGCCCGGUAGCUAAAUGCGGAAGAGAUAAGUGCUGAAAGCAUCUAAGCACGAAACUUGCCCCGAGAUGAGUUCUCCCUGAGACUUAGAGUCUCCUGAAGGAACGUUGAAGACGACGACGUUGAUAGGCCGGGUGUGUAAGCGCAGCGAUGCGUUGAGCUAACCGGUACUAAUGAACCGUGAGGCUUAACCUUACAACGCCGAAG
RNAcentral lists this ribosomal RNA (2290 nucleotides) under Salmonella enterica subsp. enterica serovar Kentucky. RNAcentral describes it as "partial 23S ribosomal RNA". It matches the Rfam family "Bacterial large subunit ribosomal RNA", at positions 670 to 2925 of the family's 2925-position model. The record is from RNAcentral. Lineage: Bacteria; Pseudomonadati; Pseudomonadota; Gammaproteobacteria; Enterobacterales; Enterobacteriaceae.